This 200-nucleotide ribosomal RNA is filed under the name uncultured bacterium. RNAcentral describes it as "partial 16S ribosomal RNA". It matches the Rfam family "Bacterial small subunit ribosomal RNA", at positions 28 to 240 of the family's 1533-position model. The record is from RNAcentral.
GAUGAACGCUAGCGGCAGGCUUAAUACAUGCAAGGCGAAGGGGCAGCAAUUUCACUGUCGUACGGGUGCGUAACGCGUAUGCAACCUACCUAUCACUGGGGGAUAGCCCGGGGAAACCCGGAUUAAUACCGCAUAACACAGGGGCUCCUCAUGGAGAUAUUUGUUAAAGAUUUAUCGGUGGUAGAUGGGCAUGCGUUCGA